AACGAACGCUGGCAGCAUGCCUAACACAUGCAAGUCGAACGAGACCUUCGGGUCUAGUGGCGCACGGGUGCGUAACGCGUGGGAACCUGCCCUUAGGUUCGGAAUAACUCCCCGAAAGGGGUGCUAAUACCGGAUAAUGUCUUCGGACCAAAGAUUUAUCGCCUUUGGAUGGGCCCGCGUUGGAUUAGCUAGUUGGUAGGGUAAAAGCCUACCAAGGCGACGAUCCAUAGCUGGUCUGAGAGGAUGAUCAGCCACACUGGGACUGAGACACGGCCCAGACUCCUACGGGAGGCAGCAGUGGGGAAUAUUGGACAAUGGGCGAAAGCCUGAUCCAGCAAUGCCGCGGGAGUGAUGAAGGCCUUAGGGUUGUAAAGCUCUUUUACCCGGGAUGAUAAUGACAGUACCGGGAGAAUAAGCUCCGGCUAACUCCGU
This 432-nucleotide ribosomal RNA is filed under the name uncultured bacterium. RNAcentral's name for it is "partial 16S ribosomal RNA". It matches the Rfam family "Bacterial small subunit ribosomal RNA", at positions 29 to 506 of the family's 1533-position model. The record is from RNAcentral.